GGAGGGAUGCCCGAGUGGCCAAAGGGACCAGGCUGUAAACCUGGCGGCUUUGCCUUCGAAGGUUCGAAUCCUUCUCCCUCCA
Molecule: transfer RNA, 82 nt
Filed under: Myxococcales bacterium LLY-WYZ-16_1
Lineage: Bacteria; Pseudomonadati; Myxococcota; Myxococcia; Myxococcales
Description: tRNA-Tyr
Rfam family: tRNA
About the family: Transfer RNA (tRNA) molecules are approximately 80 nucleotides in length. Their secondary structure includes four short double-helical elements and three loops (D, anti-codon, and T loops).
Source: RNAcentral